RNAcentral lists this ribosomal RNA (397 nucleotides) under uncultured bacterium. RNAcentral's name for it is "partial 16S ribosomal RNA". It matches the Rfam family "Bacterial small subunit ribosomal RNA", at positions 523 to 918 of the family's 1533-position model. The record is from RNAcentral.
AUACGUAGGGGGCGAGCGUUGUCCGGAAUGACUGGGCGUAAAGGGCGUGUAGGCGGUUGAAUAAGUCUGGAGUGAAAGUCCCGGUUUCAAGGUGGGAAUUGCUUUGGAGACUGGUUGGCUUGAGUGCGGAAGAGGUAAGUGGAAUUCCCAGUGUAGCGGUGAAAUGCGUAGAGAUUGGGAGGAACACCAGUGGCGAAGGCGACUUACUGGGCCGUAACUGACGCUGAGGCGCGAAAGCGUGGGGAGCGAACAGGAUUAGAUGCCCUGGUAGUCCACGCUGUAAACGAUGAAUGCUAGGUGUAGGGGGUAUCGACCCCUCCUGUGCCGGAGUAAACGCAAUAAGCAUUCCGCCUGGGGAGUACGGCCGCAAGGUUGAAACUCAAAUGAAUUGACGGGG